GAGUUCCCAGGCAGAGCUGUAAAGCGAUCACUGAAACUUUUAACACAAAGCAACUUGUUUAAAAGUACUGGAUGGAGUCCCGGUUCUGUUGAAAUAUACAGCAAAAUUCUCACAGACCUCAGCAGGCCCAUAAUUUCAUCUGUGAACCAUAUUUACUAGGAAAAUAUUAUGAUGAGCCAUGGACUCAUGUGCUUCACAGAAAACAUGAAAAAUAAUCUGCUGAAGACCUAGAAAAAUAAAUGUUCUUGGUGGGCUUCAAAUACCAGCCAAGCAAAGAGGCAAAACACAACACUUUGGUUAUUGAGAAAACUGAAAUGGUUUAUGUCCCAAUGGAUUGGAAUAAUUUUAUGCCUUGUUCAUAAUAUAUGAAUUACAGAAAUAGUUUUAUGCAAUGUUUUCAUAGUUCCUAGAUUUGUAUCUUUAAAUACACAAAAAAGUAUACUUUCUAUGGCGGUGGCAGUUCCCACAGAACCUUUUUUUUUUUCUUUCUGAGAUCAAGGUAGCAAAACUAACAUCUCCAUUUGGUAGAAUCUGGAUACAUUUGCAUUUCCGAUAAUUCCUUCGUCUGAGUCACGGAGAUGCCUUCCCCGAGACACGUAGUAAGUGCGGGCAGCUGUACAAGGGGGAAAAGGAAACCACACACACACAAAACCCAAAAACCUGAUUCCUCUGAGAGUUCCCCCUGAGGAGGGAUAUCUCCACAGGGCACCUCAGGGCAUCAGAGGGCGGCUGAGCGCUGGGCACGGCUGGUGCCACUGCCACCACAGGACUCUUGGACCGGGGCAGCGAUGCGAGGCAGCAAGGAGGAGGUCUUCGGGAGAGCGACCCCACCGAGGGGAAAGCAAACGCCGGGGCACGGCGUGAGGCUGAAGCCUAAAGAGGAACGGACAGACACGGGCGUGGGCGCCCCCGAAGCCUUGCGUGCAGCCCCCGCCGCCUGGAGCCGGCUGCUUCUGGGCGUUCUCGGCGCGGGGAGGAGCGGCCGGGACGGCAGCGGCUCUCGGGCUCGCCGACCCCAGUGGCUCGGAGGAAGUGGGGCCCCCGGGGCUGGCUGCACCCCGACACGAAGUCCCCUCGCAGCCCGCUGCGGGGCGGUCGGGCCCAGCGCUUCCGAGGGCGCUGCCUGCUGGGACGGGACGGGACGGGACGGGACGGGACGGGACGGGACGAGCUUCUCCCGUUACCCUGUCCCCGGCACCAGCAGCCAGGGCCGAUGCGGCGGCCCCAGAGGGGCGCGAGGGGCGCUUGUGCCCCACCAACAACCCCGCCGGCUCGCUUCGGCUCGGCCCUGCUCUGCCCGGGUCCCCGCGGGCACCGACGCCCCCCGAGCCUGCCCGAGCUCCGCGAAGGCGACGAGGGCCGAAGGAACGCGGAGCCGUCGAGGCGGCAGAAGUCAGGUGGGAGACUGGGCCGGGCCGGGCCGGUCCGGGCCGUGCCGGGCUUAGGGGAGCUGAGGGUUCUCCAGCGGGCGCACAGCCGGGGCCGCAGCGCUGCGCGGCGCACCGCUGCUCGGCCCCGCGCCCGCCGCCUGUCCCGGGCGGCCCGCAGCGACGGGACAGGACCCAACGGGACCCGACGGGACGGGAAGGGACGGGACGGGAGGGGACGGGACGGGACCCGACGCGACGGGGCGUGUGGCGGCGUGGCCGGCACCUGGAGCUGGACCUGCCUCCGCCCCGCUCCGCGCAGAGGCCGGGCCGGGGUUUGGCCGCGUGUCGGGUUCGGGUGGGCGCCGCAUCCAAUUUGUCGGGAGGGAUGCUGUAGGCGGAGAUGAGAGGCAGAGCUAACGGGGCUUCUGCAAUCCCUGCGUUUGCCGGGCGAGAGGCAUGGCACGGCGCCCCGGCCCCGGUACUCGGCGGGAAUAGCGGUGUCAGCCCCGCUCCCGCUGACGGGCAUCCUCCGCAGAGCCGGGGCGGCCGGAGCUUUUGCUGGGCACCGGCGAACGACCCCUCCCCAUGCCCCCAGCGCAAAGAUGAUGAUACCCUGGGCACCUGUGGCAGGAUGGUCAGUUCCUCCCAGCACCUCACUGCACUCAAGCACUCAGCCGGAGCUGCUGAUUUGGAGUGGAUGUCAGCAAACCAAGAUGUCAGCAAACCAAGAAUCCCUUUUGGAUGCAUGUUUUGGUGCAGAAGUUCAACAGAGAAGCAGCAGAUCUAAUCCCCUCACUCUCGAGGCAGGACAGAACUCACUGUGACUGUACAGCCCAUCUCACCGGAAAACCCAUCUUUGCUCCCUUUCUUGAUGCUGAGAUAAAAAACUGCUGGCACAGAAGCAGAGCCAAGCAAAAUUUUGGCAUAGGAAAUGGCCCUCGUACCACUGCCAGAACAAGGGAAUGCUGGAAAGAAGAUCCCUGGCGAGGCUUUAACUUCUCUUUGCGCCAUGUAAGCAGCACAACGUGAGACUGAAGAUGAACAGAUCCUGUCUCAAAACUGUUUGGACAUUAUGGUAAUGUAGAAAGCCUCUGCUUGAAUUUUAUCUGUACCAAUUAUUAAAAUGUGUUAAUUGUAUCUGCAAGUAUCAAUCAGCUUUGUGGAGUUUUAAAAUUAAAAGAGUAUUAUUUACACCCACUGUGUCCAUGUAUGCAAAAUGCAAAUGCAUGUUCUCUUCUUCAUGAAUAUAGACAAAAAAUAUAGUGUGCUGGUUUUUGAUGACAAUAAAAAUUAUUUGCCUCUCUAAGGAUAAACUUCAGAGGAAUUCAAAUUUUCUAGUAUCUCCUGAUUCUCAUCAGACUUCUCUAUCGUAGAGAUAUAGAGAGAGGUACUUUUCUUGAGAAGUCUCUUUCACUAAAACCUAGGAGUUCAAAGCUAGGCAAAAACAAACAAAGAAAAAAACCUUAAAAUAUACAUGAAAUAUUUCUUUUCAAAUAUCGCAAGUAUUUGUCAAAUCUCUGGAAAAUAUUUGGAUUUGUUUUUAUUUGCAUUUAAGUCCAUAAGUUUGUCCAUAUUUGUGGAAGCUAUCAUUAAUACUUGAUCACAGCGCAGAGCAGCCCUUUUGUUUUGUAUUGUUUCUGAAUGCUUUGCCUGCUACAAGUGAAAACAUAAGAGUAUUAAGAACCAGAAAUGAGUGUGGAAAAAUCUUUGAAAAUAAAACUAACACUAAUUUAAUGCUCUAAAUUGUUAAAAAUAAGACACAUGUAAAUGAUUUGUUUGUGUUUGUUAAAAGAAGUUCUGUUUAAUGUUAAUUUAGUGAAAUUCAGCUGUUGCAUAAACUUCUAGGAAUUAUUUGAAGAUUCUUAGGAAGAUUAAUUAGUCUUUUUUUUGGAAUGGUACUUGCUUGCUACUUUUUGAAAUAAAGUAGAAGAGAAUGAUAAUACAUUAAAAAAAAAAAGUAUCCUCAACAAACAAAAGAAAACACAAAAUAUAAUGCAAAAAUUCUGGCUGAUAUGACUAAAAUUUUUUUAAUCCCAUACAGCUGUGUAGAAUUCAAAGCAAUGUGGUUCAGGAAUACCUUUGCUGUAGGCUCAGAGCUGUGUACAGUGUGACUCUGUUACAGAACUCCUGUCAUAUUCAGGGUAUUAGAUUAUGGACAGUGCUCAUACAUAGAAAUUCAACAAAGUGAGAAUCACUAGUUAAAUUAGAGGUCCCCAUACACCUCCGUGUCUUCCACUGCAAAUGCUGCAAAGUUUAACACAGUGGCAAAUAGUAAAUACAUAUCUUUGCUAUAAGUGCUGCGUAUGUAUAUAUAUGCCUGUGUGUGCAGAUGUAUAUUUAUAUACAUCUAUAUAAACAUACGUUUAUGCACAAAUACUUAGGUUUUGUAUAAUCCCAUAGACCCCUUUUGAUGGUUAUGCUAUAGCAUUGUACAGUGCCCUUCCUUUCCAUGGACAGCCCAAAAAUCCCCAGACAUGGGACUUUUGGAGAUGUGCUCUAAUCUAACACUGGGAUGUCCUGCCCCAAAAGAGCAAUUUGUUGCCAGCAACUGUCCUCAGUAAAUUCCUUUGGUGUAGAAGGGCACAGAGGAGUGACAGGGAGCACAGCAGGUAAGAGGGUGUCAGAUGGGCUUUUUGGUAUCUGGAAAAAAGACACCAUUCCACUGCUGUCAUCUCUAGCUUAUCCUGUUGUUGAUACAGUGACAAUUCCAAAUAGUUUAUUACAGCAUUAGCAACCACUACAGUAUUACUCUCAAAACAGUAAGAUAAUUUAAGUGAUGUUAAAUUCACACCUAAAUGAUACACCCAUGCUAAGAAGAAAAAAAAAAUCUGCUGCAAAGAAAGAAACUGACACUUUCACCUCCUAAAUUCUGGGCUAUUCCUGCCCACAGGGUCUGUCAUGUCUCUACAGCCAUUAGUUGCCUUAUAUUUGAUUACAUCACUCAGCACAUGAACAGAAAAUGUGUAUAUGUACUAUUUCUUCUUAUGUAUCUAUCUCACUAAUCAUACUUUAACGUAGUAUUCUAAUGAGUGUUCUAAUGGUGUUCUGUAUUUAUCUUUCCAGAGUAAAAUUUACUUACUUGAGACCAAAUAUAGUAUGUCCACACUUUUUCAUUUUCUUUUAUGUAACUUGAAAAUCAAAUGGAAAUGGAAGGCAGACACUAAGCUGAAUAUAAGUCAUUACCUAUAAUCGACCAGGGUUUAUUACCAGUUAUGUGUGAAUCAGUAAGAAAUCAGCUGACUUUUCCCUUUCUGGAAAGAACUUUAGGUUUGAGAGUUAAACAGACAAAUAAAUAAAUAAAUAAAUCACCUUCACUUAUGCUUCAGUUAUUUCAACUCAAGUUUACUUCAUUUACAGUAUAAAUUGUGCUGUCAUAUUUUACAAAGCUACUUUUUUUUUUUUUUUUUUUUUUUUUUUUUUUUUUGGCAGAGAGCUAGGCUUCUUAAUGUAAAGCCUCGUUUUCUUCUUGUAAAAAAAUAUACCAGCAGCAAAGCUAAAGACUGCUACUCUGUCUGAAAG
Anas platyrhynchos (mallard) is the source of this 4889-nucleotide RNA transcript. RefSeq lists it as uncharacterized. NCBI's taxonomy places the organism in Eukaryota, Metazoa, Chordata, Aves, Anseriformes, Anatidae. The record is from RefSeq and is a predicted model, not a curated record.